GCCACGGCUAACUACGUGCCAGCAGCCGCGGUAAUACGUAGGUGGCAAGCGUUGUUCGGAAUAACUGGGCGUAAAGGAUGCGUAGGCGGUUAGAUAAGUUAAUGUGUCAAAUAUAUAGGCUUAACCUGUAGAAGGCAUAUAAAACUGUGUAACUAGAGUGCAGGAGAGGUAAGUGGAAUUCCUAGUGUAGCGGUGAAAUGCGUAGAGAUUAGGAAGAACACCAGUGGCGAAGGCGACUUACUGGACUGUAACUGACGCUGAGGCAUGAGAGCAUGGGGAGCAAACAGGAUUAGAUACCCUGGUAGUCCAUGCUGUAAACGAUGGGUACUAGGUGUGGGCUGUGAAGAACAGUUCGUGCCGUCGCAAACGCAAUAAGUACCCCGCCUGAGGAGUACGAUCGCA
Molecule: ribosomal RNA, 402 nt
Filed under: uncultured bacterium
Lineage: Bacteria
Description: bacterial SSU rRNA
Rfam family: Bacterial small subunit ribosomal RNA
Source: RNAcentral